RNAcentral lists this long non-coding RNA (264 nucleotides) under Panax ginseng (ginseng). Its description in RNAcentral is "long non-coding RNA (PGIN_LNC014866)". The record is from RNAcentral. Lineage: Eukaryota; Viridiplantae; Streptophyta; Magnoliopsida; Apiales; Araliaceae.
UCAAAAUAAGUUGGUUUAUAUUUAAGUUCUGGAUUCUAAAGUCAGGACGAGAGACAGAGUUAGAGAGCUUGUAAUCAAGAACCAUUUUCGGCCUUCCUCUUCAUUUCCGUUCCAUUUCUUCUUCUCUCUCUCAAUUACCAAACUCUCAAAUUCUACUGAACUACCAAAUUCCUCUAAAAUUGAAGCCAUCAACUUAAAAUUUGAGAAGAGUGGAACAAGGUGCAGUUUUAAAGAGGGAGCAAACUCAAUCAAUUACAAAAUUGA